CGGUACGGAUCGGGUAGUGAUGUAAAAUUCUCAAUUCUGCCAGCUGAACAUAUACGAGAUUUUAAUGAGGAUGAAUAAUUAGCCGGCAUGGAGGAAACGGACCUUUAUUUGGUGGAGUGGCGACAAGAAGCCAAAAGACGGGUGGCCGGUCUAUGAAGCCUCCAUCAUCAAGCUAGCAGCCCAUGAAAUCGAAUGCAGAUCUUCCUGAUGUCAGAUUUACAUAAAUAUGUCAAAGUCUCAACCUCAUGCUGCCCUCCCCCAUCCUCCUAAACCUGUGGUUACAAAUGCAGAUUUCCUUAAUGUUCAAUGGUGCGUGUUCUUCUAAUGGCCGCCUUCCCACUGGAGGUUUUGAUCCACAGCAAUUUAAAAGGAGGACAGAUCAAAACGGACAUCGGCGCAGAGCGAAGAACUGCCCUUCAUAAGGACACUAUGACAGCCAUAUAUAUGGCGGUAAGGAAGAGGUUUCCCAAUGUGUCCAGAAGGGCUUUGAGGAUUGCAGUGAAAGCUGGGGGAACUGAGACUGCUGGAAAAGGAAAAGAAAUUACAUUUAAAGUAUGUUGACUUAUGUUCACACAAUCACACACACAUAUACACAUACACACACAUAUGUGUACAUAUAUAUAUAUAUACACACAUAUAUAUGUAUAUGUGUGUCUGUGUUUCUUUUAGAAUGUUUAAGUAUGUAAUGAGAAUAAAAUUAUAAAAUGAAUAUUCCUUGCUUGAUUGAUAUGUUAUAUGUAUGUUUUAAACAUCAAAUAAAGAUUUCUUUCAGCUGUUA
Long non-coding RNA from Oreochromis niloticus (Nile tilapia), 778 nucleotides. RefSeq lists it as uncharacterized. The record is from RefSeq and is a predicted model, not a curated record. The transcript is spliced from 7 exons. NCBI's taxonomy places the organism in Eukaryota, Metazoa, Chordata, Actinopteri, Cichliformes, Cichlidae.